UUUCUUUGCUGGCGACCGGCGCACGGGUGAGUAACACGUAUCCAACCUGCCCUUUACUCGGGGAUAGCCUUUCGAAAGAAAGAUUAAUACCCGAUAGCAUAAUGAUUCCGCAUGGUUUCAUUAUUAAAGGAUUCCGGUAAAGGAUGGGGAUGCGUUCCAUUAGGUUGUUGGUGAGGUAACGGCUCACCGAGCCUUCGAUGGAUAGGGGUUCUGAGAGGAAGGUCCCCCACAUUGGAACUGAGACACGGUCCAA
RNAcentral lists this ribosomal RNA (253 nucleotides) under uncultured bacterium. RNAcentral describes it as "partial 16S ribosomal RNA". It matches the Rfam family "Bacterial small subunit ribosomal RNA", at positions 80 to 334 of the family's 1533-position model. The record is from RNAcentral.